UACGUAGGGGGCUAGCGUUGUCCGGAUUUAUUGGGCGUAAAGAGCGUGUAGGCGGCCAGAUAGGUCUGCUGUGAAAACUCGAGGCUCAACCUCGAGAUGUCGGCGGAAACCAUUUGGCUAGAGUCCGGAAGAGGAAAGUGGAAUUCCUGGUGUAGCGGUGAAAUGCGCAGAUAUUCGCAAGAACACCAGUGGCGAAGGCGGCUCACUGGCCCGGUACUGACGCUGAGGUGCGAAAGCGUGGGGAGCAAACAGG
This 253-nucleotide ribosomal RNA is filed under the name uncultured bacterium. RNAcentral's name for it is "partial 16S ribosomal RNA". It matches the Rfam family "Bacterial small subunit ribosomal RNA", at positions 524 to 776 of the family's 1533-position model. The record is from RNAcentral.